GACGAACGCUGGCGGCGUGCUUAACACAUGCAAGUCGAGCGGUAAGGCCCUUUCGGGGGUACACGAGCGGCGAACGGGUGAGUAACACGUGGGUGACCUGCCCUCAGCUCUGGGAUAAGCCUGGGAAACCGGGGUCUAAUACCGGAUAUGACUCCAUGACGCAUGUUGUGGGGUGGAAAGCCUUGUGCGGCUGAGGAUGGGCCCGCGGCCUAUCAGCUUGUUGGUGGGGUGAUGGCCUACCAAGGCGACGACGGGUAGCCGGCCUGAGAGGGCGACCGGCCACACUGGGACUGAGACACGGCCCAGACUCCUACGGGAGGCAGCAGUGGGGAAUCUUGCGCAAUGGGGCGAAAGCCUGACGCAGCGACGCCGCGUGA
RNAcentral lists this ribosomal RNA (377 nucleotides) under uncultured bacterium. RNAcentral describes it as "bacterial SSU rRNA". It matches the Rfam family "Bacterial small subunit ribosomal RNA", at positions 28 to 404 of the family's 1533-position model. The record is from RNAcentral.